This 223-nucleotide long non-coding RNA is filed under the name Pan troglodytes (chimpanzee). Its description in RNAcentral is "long non-coding RNA NONPTRT001943". The record is from RNAcentral. Lineage: Eukaryota; Metazoa; Chordata; Mammalia; Primates; Hominidae.
AGGGUAAGAGGCAAAGAGCCACCAGGUCCCAGCUGAGGAAGCCCUGUGGUCAGCUCAGACAGGGAUGCGGACUGAAGCCGAAGCAGGUGUUAGUAACUGUCGUACCUACAGACGAGGAAACUGAGCCUCCAUGAAGUGAAGUGACUCACCCACAGUCACACAGCUAAUAUAUGCCAGAGCCCACAGCAGAACUCAGACGUACUGAGGCCAAGUUCAAUGCCAG